Molecule: ribosomal RNA, 253 nt
Filed under: uncultured bacterium
Lineage: Bacteria
Description: partial 16S ribosomal RNA
Rfam family: Bacterial small subunit ribosomal RNA
Source: RNAcentral
CUUUCUUUGCUGGCGACCGGCGCACGGUGAGUAACACGUAUCCAACCUGCCCUUUACUCGGGGAUAGCCUUUCGAAGGAAAGAUUAAUACCCGAUAGCAUAAUGAUUCCGCAUGGUUUCAUUAUUAAAGGAUUCCGGUAAAGGAUGGGGAUGCGUUCCAUUAGGUUGUUGGUGAGGUAACGGCUCACCAAGCCUUCGAUGGAUAGGGGUUCUGAGAGGAAGGUCCCCCACAUUGGAACUGAGACACGGUCCAA